AUGGUGACAGGGGAUAGGGAAAAGGCAGAACUGCUUAAUGCCUUCUUUGCCUCGGUCUUCUCACAAAAAGAAAGCCAUCUUCAACCUCAGCAACAUGGAAUGGACGAAGGAUUGGGGGAAAUCCAACCCCAAAUAGGGAAACAAGUUGUCCAGGAACACCUGGCCACUCUAAACGAAUUCAAGUCCCCAGGGCCAGAUCAGCUACAUCCAAGAGUAUUGAAGGAACUAGCGGAAGUUAUUCAGAUCCACUGGCAAUCAUCUUCGAGAGUUCUUGGAGAACAGGAGAAGUCCCAGCAGAUUGGAGGAGGGCGAAUGUGGUCCCUAUCUUCAAGAAGGGACCACAUUCGCCCUCCUCCAAUCUUCUGGGACUUCUCCCAUUCUCCAAGAACUCUCAAAUAUGAUUGCCAGUGGUUCUGAAAUAACUUCCGCUAGUUCCUUCAGUACUCUUGGAUGUAGCUGAUCUGGCCCUGGCGACUUGAAUUCGUUUAGAGUGGCCAGGUGUUCCUGGACAACUUGUUUCCCUAUUUGGGGUCGGAUUUCCCCAAAUCCUUCGUCCAUUUCAUGUUGCUAAGGUUGAAGAUGGCUUUUUUUGUGUGAGAAGACCUAGGCAAAGAAGGCAUUAAGCAGUUCUGCCUUUUCGCUAUCCCAUCGCCAUCACCCCAUCUUCUCCUCGCAGAGGCCCUAUCGCCUCCUUUUUCUUCCUUUUUCUACCAACAUAAGCAAAAAAGCCUUUUUGUUGUUUUUAAUGUCCCUGGUAAGCCUGAGCUCAUUUUACGCUUUAGCCUUGCAAACCUUUUCCCUACAGGAGUUGGCUAUACGUUUGAAUUCUUCUUUGGUGAUUUCUCCCCUUUUCCACUUCUUGUGCAUGUCUCUUUUGAAUCUUAGCCUGGUUAGAAGUUCUUUGGACAUCCAUUCUGGCUUCUUCGCACUUGUCAUAUAUUUUUUUCUUUGUUGGCACUGUUUGCAUUUGCGCCUUGAGUAUUUCACUUUUAAAAAACUCCCAUCCAUCCUUAACUCCCUUAUCUUUUAAUAUUGGUGUCCAUGGAAUGCUGCUCAGUAUUUCCUUCAUUUUUUUGGAAGUCAGCUCUCUUAAAGUCCAGAAUGUGUGUUUGACUUGUCUUAGUUUCAGCCUUCCUUUGUAUCACAAACUGCAGGAGCACAUGGUCACUUGCCCCUAAGGAUCCGACCACUUCGACUGUAUUGAUCAGGUCUUCCACAUUUGUUAAGAUUAGAUCAAAAGUUGCCAAUCCCCUUGUUGCCUCUUCUACCUUCUGGACCAUAAAAUUGUCUGCAAGGCAAGUGAGGAAUUUGUUGGACUUUGUGCUUUUGGCCGAGUUUGUUUUCCAGCAGAUAUCAGGAUAGUUGAAAUCUCCCAUGACUACUACAUCUCUUCUUUGUGCCUGUUUGGUCAGCUGUUGACAAAAGGCUUCAUCAAGUCCUUCAUCCUGGUUCGGAGGUCUGUAGUAGACACCCACAACGAGAUCUUUUUGAGUCCCGGUUCCCUUGAUUCUUAUCCAGAUGCUUUCAAGCUGGUUUCCCGGAUUACAGUCUUGCAUUUCUUCUGCAACGUAACUGUUUUUUACAUAUAAAGCUACUCCCCCUCCUCUCCCCUUGGUUCUAUUUCUGUGAAAGAGAUUAUAGCCCUCAAUGGCUACAUUCCAGUGAUGGGAGUGAGCCCACCAGGUUUCAGUGAUGCCUAUGACGUCGUACGUGUGGUGCUGUGCUAAAAGUUGGAGUUCGUCUUGCUUAUUUCCCAUGCUCUGUGCAUUAGUGUAAAGACAUGUAAGCCCCUUUGAGAUUCCCCCAAGCUGUUUAUUUGGGAUUAUUGUGCUCUCGGUAAUUGGUCCUUGCUGUGUUUGUGAAGCCCUCCAUUUAGCCUUUUGGCGGUUCCCUGUGGUCGUGGGUAAUAUAAUGUUUGCCAGGCUGUUGUUCCCCUCCCCCAGUGGAUCUAGUUUAAAGUGUGCCUGAUGAGGUUUGUGAGUCCGUGUGCAAAAAGAUGUUUUCCUACUUGUGUGAGAUGCACCCCAUUACUUGCCAGUAGUCCAUCCUCCUGGAAGAGUAGGCCAUGGUCAAGGAAGCCAAAAUGCUCCUCUUGACACCAUUUUCUGAGCCAGUUAUUGACCUGUACUAUUUUUCUGGCCCUUGUAGAGCCGUGUCCUACAACUGGGAGGAGGGAUGAAAAGAUCACAUGUACAUUACACAGUUUUAGCUUACUUCCGAGGGCUCGAAAAUCAUUUGUGAUCUUUUGAAAAGUAUGCCUAGUGGUAUCAUUGGUUCCUACAUGAAUCAACAUAGGGGGGGGGAGGGUGAUGAGACUCUAGGAGCCUGCUGAGCCUCUGAGUGAUAUGGUGUAUUUUUGCCCCCAGGAGGCAGCAUAUUUCUUGAGCCAUCCCAUCUGGUCUGGAAAUGAUGGCUUCCGUUCCUCUAAGGAGGGAGUCACCUACUACCAAGACCUGUUUCCUUUGAGGAUUGACAGUGUCACUUUUGUGCAAGACAGUGUGUAUGUCCCCUGAAGAGUGUUCCUGUUGAAGUGAAUCAUGUAGGUGUAAAGUGUUGUCCUCCUCCUCAACAUCCCCAGUGCAUUCCUCAAUGACCAUCCAUUGAGAUACGUCCGAGAGCCCAUCACUCUCCCAAGGAUGUUCCUGUUGCUCCUGGUUUAUGAUUGGGGAUGGAGCAUUUGCAUGAUUACAUAAGUGUGAAUGUGGUGAUGCACUGUCCCCGUCAAGGCUAUCCCCUGCACAUUGAUAAAGGUUGGCCCAUUGAGUGGUAUCUAAGUAACUGUUGUCCUCCACAAGAUGUGUUUCCUGAUUGUAUGUUAGUGGUGUAAGAAUUUGGAAUCUGUUGUGUAAAUCCAGCUGAGCAGAUGAGUUCUGCGGAGGCUGCCUGGUCCCGUGUCUCUUUCUAUGGGUGACCUCCUUCCAAGUCUGAGGGUUGUCUACCUUUGAGUUGAUCUCCCCAUAAAGUUCCUGAUCAUGGUGGUGAUGGUGUGAUGCAGGUUGCAGAUCUACAGCAGCGUGUUGUGCAGUGUCCAAGAAGAGCCCGAGUGCCUGAAUGUCCUUAAGGGUCUUAAUGCGGGCCUCGGGUUGUUGGAUCCUCUGCUCCAUCAGAGUCAUCUGUUUACACUUGGUGCAGGUGUAGUUGAGUAGUUGUUGUGCAAACAAGGUGAACAUGCCGCAACUUGUGCAUGUGGUGGCAAGUAUUUGCUGUUGAUCCAUCUCUUGGUGAGUGAAGUGACUAAGCAGGAUCGUGUGUGUUAUGGGCAGAUUGCUAUUCACCUUCCUGUGUAUGUGUUUUUAAUUUUGUUUUUUUUAUUGUAUGUACUGUAAGAAGGGGUGGGUUCACGAGCGCCGUUAGGCGCGAGCGACGCUGGCUCAGAAAGCUUCAACAGGAAGCCAACACUUUCAAAACCAUAGCCACACCUCACCUUCCAAACAAUAGUAGAGCAGCUAGCCUUAAUUACAGCUAGCCCACACUCAAGAAUCAGCACAGACUCAGGUUUUUUAAGGCAAAGAGUCCAACAGACAGAGGUUUUUAAGGCUAUCUAAGAAAAGAGUAGGCAAUCUAAGAAAAGAGUGCACACUCUCAGGUUUUUAAGGAAAUCUUAGACAGGCCUUACCUAAAGCAAAAGAGCAAGCUGCCUUCUUGCUUCCUCUCCUCACCUCUGCAUGAACUCAGCUGCCGCUUGAGUUCAGCUUCUGGCUCAGAAAAUCUACCUACUAACAAGUUAAUGAAUAUUGUAGCAUUUUCUUUGUAGAUAAUAAUAAUAUAAUUUAAGAAAAGAUUUAAUGUGAAACAAUUUCUUAUGA
Molecule: long non-coding RNA, 3806 nt
Organism: Anolis carolinensis (green anole)
Lineage: Eukaryota; Metazoa; Chordata; Lepidosauria; Squamata; Anolidae
Source: Ensembl